UGGGGAAUAUUGGACAAUGGGCGAAAGCCUGAUCCAGCAAUGCCGCGUGAGUGAUGAAGGCCUUAGGGUUGUAAAACUCUUUCAGUAGGGAAGAUUAUGACGGUACCUACAGAAGAAGCACCGGCUAACUUCGUGCCAGCAGCCGCGGUAAUACGAAGGGUGCUAGCGUUGUUCGGAAUUACUGGGCGUAAAGCGCGCGUAGGCGGCCUCGCAAGUUGGAAGUGAAAUCCCAGGGCUUAACCCUGGAAUUGCUUUCAAAACUGCAAGGCUAGAGAAUGGUAGGGGAAAGUGGAAUUCCUAGUGUAGAGGUGAAAUUCGUAGAUAUUAGGAGGAACACCAGAGGCGAAGGCGGCUUUCUGGGCCAUUUCUGACGCUAAGGCGCGAAAGCGUGGGGAGCGAA
Molecule: ribosomal RNA, 400 nt
Filed under: uncultured bacterium
Lineage: Bacteria
Description: bacterial SSU rRNA
Rfam family: Bacterial small subunit ribosomal RNA
Source: RNAcentral